GUCUACGGCCAUGCCACCCUGAACGAGCCCGAUCUCUUCUGAUCUCGGAAGCUAAGCAGGGUCGGGCCUGGUUAGUACUUGGAUGGGAGACCAGUUAGGAAGACUAGGUGCUGUAGGUG
This 119-nucleotide ribosomal RNA is filed under the name Pteropus alecto (black flying fox). Lineage: Eukaryota; Metazoa; Chordata; Mammalia; Chiroptera; Pteropodidae. The record is from RNAcentral.